This 597-nucleotide ribosomal RNA is filed under the name uncultured Synechococcus sp. Its description in RNAcentral is "bacterial SSU rRNA". It matches the Rfam family "Bacterial small subunit ribosomal RNA", at positions 30 to 675 of the family's 1533-position model. The record is from RNAcentral. Lineage: Bacteria; Bacillati; Cyanobacteriota; Cyanophyceae; Synechococcales; Synechococcaceae.
GUAACGCUGGCGGCGUGCUUACACCUGCAAGUCUAACGAACCUUCGGGUUAGUGGCGGACGGGUGAGUAACGCGUGAGAAUCUGCCUCAGGAGGGGGACAACAGUUGGAAACGACUGCUAAUACCCCAUAUGCCGCGAGGUAAAAUGAAUUUCGCCUGAGGAUGAGCUCGCGUCUGAUUAGCUAGUUGGUGUAGGUAAUGGCUCACCAAGGCAUCGAUCAGUAGCUGGUCUGAGAGGAUGAUCAGCCACACUGGGACUGAGACACGGCCCAGACUCCUACGGGAGGCAGCAGUGGGGAAUUUUCCGCAAUGGGCGAAAGCCUGACGGAGCAACGCCGCGUGAGGGAUGAAGGCCUCUGGGCUGUAAACCUCUUUUAUCAAGGAAGAAGAUCUGACGGUACUUGAUGAAUAAGCCACGGCUAAUUCCGUGCCAGCAGCCGCGGUAAUACGGGAGUGGCAAGCGUUAUCCGGAAUUAUUGGGCGUAAAGCGUCCGCAGGCGGCCCUUCAAGUCUGCUGUUAAAAAGUGGAGCUUAACUCCAUCAUGGCAGUGGAAACUGUUGGGCUUGAGUGUGGUAGGGGCAGAGGGAAUUCCCGGUG